Molecule: long non-coding RNA, 534 nt
Organism: Contarinia nasturtii (swede midge)
Lineage: Eukaryota; Metazoa; Arthropoda; Insecta; Diptera; Cecidomyiidae
Exons: 3
Source: RefSeq, a predicted model, not a curated record
UUUUGUGCUGGCUUCUGUUUUACUGUUGUGUAUGGAGCACUUCUUACCAAGACGAAUCGCAUAUCACGAAUAUUCAAACACGGGAAACAAUCAGCCAAACGACCAUCUUUCAUUAGUCCUCGAUCACAGCUAGUCAUUUGUACUGGGUUAACGUCAAUCCAGGUUAUAAUUAAUGUCAUCUGGAUGAUAAUUUCACCUGCACGUGCCAUGUAUCACUAUCCAACCCGUGAAGAUAAUUUACUUGUAUGCGACUCUUAUGUGGAUGCAUCGUAUAUGAUUGCAUUUUCAUAUCCGAUAUUUUUAAUAGUAAUUUGUACAGUUCAUGCAGUUUUGACACGAAAAAUACCGGAAGCUUUUAAUGAAUCUAAGCAUAUAGGUUUCACCAUGUAUACUACUUGUGUUAUUUGGUUGGCUUUUGUCCCCUUGUAUUUUGUUACCGCAAAUCAUGUACCACUUCGAUUAACAUCGAUGUCAAUGGCAAUUAGUUUGUCCGCCAGUGUUACGGUGGCGUGCCUAUUUUCGCCCAAGGUAAGU